CCUGCUUAGAUGCCUGGUGACUCUCAUCUUGCAGCAGGCCACACUGUUGGCCUCCAAUGAAGCCUUUAAAAAGCAGAUGGAGAGUGCUAGUGAGGCGGCCAAGAAGUACACGGAGAAUGACCAGCUCAAGAAGUGAGCUGCUGUUGACGGAGGCAAGUUGGAUGUCGGGAAUGCUGAGGUGAAGUUGGAGGAAGAGAACAGGAGCCUGAAGGCUGAGCUGCAGAAGCUAAAGGAUGAGCUGGCCAGCACUAAGCAAACUGAAAACCAGGUUCUGGCCAUGCGGAAGCAGUCUGAGGGCCUCACCAAGGAGUACGACCGCUUGCAGUAGGAGCACGCAAAGCUGCAGGCUACAGUAGUUGGUCCCAUGGACAAGAAGAAAGAGUAA
RNAcentral lists this long non-coding RNA (385 nucleotides) under Homo sapiens (human). Its description in RNAcentral is "non-protein coding lnc-TP53TG3-45:1". The record is from RNAcentral. Lineage: Eukaryota; Metazoa; Chordata; Mammalia; Primates; Hominidae.